GGAAGAUAGGCUGAUAUAGAGAGAACAUGAAAAGAUGGGGUUUGCCUUACCAACUCUAUUGAGACAAAUCAAUUAAAGUGGACUAUUAUCAGCAGGGGGAAAAACAUCACUUUUGUACUGGUAAUCAGGAUGGCCUAUUUCAAACAGUUGACAAGAAGGUGUGAGUAACAGUAGGGGUAAA
Dermochelys coriacea (leatherback sea turtle) is the source of this 181-nucleotide long non-coding RNA. RefSeq lists it as uncharacterized. The transcript has 3 exons. The record is from RefSeq and is a predicted model, not a curated record. Lineage: Eukaryota; Metazoa; Chordata; Testudines; Dermochelyidae.